RNAcentral lists this ribosomal RNA (466 nucleotides) under uncultured bacterium. RNAcentral's name for it is "partial 16S ribosomal RNA". The stretch from base 48 to 466 matches the Rfam family "Bacterial small subunit ribosomal RNA", at positions 39 to 506 of the family's 1533-position model. The record is from RNAcentral.
GGGGGGGGGGGGGGGCGGGCGUGGCGCGUGCGGGGGGAGGGGGGAGGGCGUGCGUGUGUGGGGUGCGCGAGUGGCGAGCGGGUGAGUAACAGGUGAGUAGCCUGCCCUUGACUUGGGGAUAACUUCAGGAAACUGGGGCUAAUCCCGGCUAGGAGCUCCUGCUGCAUGGUGGGGGUUGGAAAGUUUCGGCGGCUGGGGAUGGACUCGCGGCUUAUCAGCUUGGUGGUGGGGUAGUGGCUUACCAAGGCUUUGACGGGUCGCCGGCCUGAGAGGGUGACCGGCCACAUUGGGCCUGAGAUACGGCACAGACUCCUACGGAGGCAGCAGUGGGGAAUAUUGCACAAUGGGCGGAAGCCUGAUGCAGAAACGCCGCGUGCGGGAUGACGGCCUUCGGGUGGUAAACCGCUUUCGCCUGUGACGAAGCGUGAGUGACGGUAAUGGGGAAAGAAGCACCGGCUAACUACGU